GAUGAAGAACGCAGCGAAAUGCGAUAAGUAAUGUGAAUUGCAAAUUCAGUGAAUCAUCGAGUCUUUGAACGCACAUUGCGCCCCCUGGUAUUCCGGGGGGCAUGCCUGUCCGAGCGUCAUUGCUGCCCUCAAGCACGGCUUGUGUGUUGGGCCCCGUCCUCCGAUCCCGGGGGACGGGCCCGAAAGGCAGCGGCGGCACCGCGUCCGGUCCUCGAGCGUAUGGGGCUUUGUCACCCGCUCUGUAGGCCCGGCCGGCGCUUGCCGAUCAACCCAAAUUUUUUAUCCAGGUUGACCUCGGAUCAGGUAGGGAUACCCGCUGAACUUAAGCAUAUCAAUAAGCGGAGGA
Molecule: unclassified non-coding RNA, 346 nt
Filed under: soil metagenome
Description: partial contains 5.8S ribosomal RNA, internal transcribed spacer 2, and large subunit ribosomal RNA
Rfam family: 5.8S ribosomal RNA (bases 1-119)
Source: RNAcentral